Molecule: ribosomal RNA, 492 nt
Filed under: uncultured Streptococcus sp.
Lineage: Bacteria; Bacillati; Bacillota; Bacilli; Lactobacillales; Streptococcaceae
Description: bacterial SSU rRNA
Rfam family: Bacterial small subunit ribosomal RNA
Source: RNAcentral
GACGAACGCUGGCGGCGUGCCUAAUACAUGCAAGUAGAACGCUGAAGGAGGAGCUUGCUUCUCUGGAUGAGUUGCGAACGGGUGAGUAACGCGUAGGUAACCUGCCUGGUAGCGGGGGAUAACUAUUGGAAACGAUAGCUAAUACCGCAUAAGAGUGGAUGUUGCAUGACAUUUGCUUAAAAGGUGCACUUGCAUCACUACCAGAUGGACCUGCGUUGUAUUAGCUAGUUGGUGGGGUAAGGGCUCACCAAGGCGACGAUACAUAGCCGACCUGAGAGGGUGAUCGGCCACACUGGGACUGAGACACGGCCCAGACUCCUACGGGAGGCAGCAGUAGGGAAUCUUCGGCAAUGGACGGAAGUCUGACCGAGCAACGCCGCGUGAGUGAAGAAGGUUUUCGGAUCGUAAAGCUCUGUUGUAAGAGAAGAACGAGUGUGAGAGUGGAAAGUUCACACUGUGACGGUAUCUUACCAGAAAGGGACGGCUAACUAC